UGAGGAAUAUUGCACAAUGGGGGGAACCCUGAUGCAGCAACGCCGCGUGAGCGAUGAAGGCCUUCGGGUCGUAAAGCUCUUUUCUGUGGGAUGAGAGAAGGACAGUACCACAGGAAUAAGUCUCGGCUAACUACGUGCCAGCAGCCGCGGUAAAACGUAGGAGGCGAGCGUUAUCCGGAUUCACUGGGCGUAAAGGGCAAGUAGGCGGUAGGCAAAGUUGGGCGUGACAGCUCUCGGCUUAACUGAGAGGGGUCGUUCAAAACUAGUCUACUGGAGGGCAGGAGAGGAAGGCGGAAUUCCGAGUGUAGCGGUGGAAUGCUCAGAUAUUCGGAAGAACACCAGUGGCGAAGGCGGCCUUCUGGCCUGCACCUGACGCUGAGAGGCGAAAGCUAGGGGAGCGAACG
Molecule: ribosomal RNA, 404 nt
Filed under: uncultured prokaryote
Description: bacterial SSU rRNA
Rfam family: Bacterial small subunit ribosomal RNA
Source: RNAcentral